AUUGAACGCUGGCGGCAGGCCUAACACAUGCAAGUCGAGCGGAUGAAGGGAGCUUGCUCCUGGAUUCAGCGGCGGACGGGUGAGUAAUGCCUAGGAAUCUGCCUGGUAGUGGGGGAUAACGUCCGGAAACGGGCGCUAAUACCGCAUACGUCCUGAGGGAGAAAGUGGGGGAUCUUCGGACCUCACGCUAUCAGAUGAGCCUAGGUCGGAUUAGCUAGUUGGUGGGGUAAAGGCCUACCAAGGCGACGAUCCGUAACUGGUCUGAGAGGAUGAUCAGUCACCCUGGAACUGGGACACGGUCCAGACUCCUACGGGAGGCAGCAGUGGGGAAUAUUGGACAAUGGGCGAAAGCCUGAUCCAGCCAUGCCGCGUGUGUGAAGAAGGUCUUCGGAUUGUAAAGCCCUUUAAGUUGGGAGGAAGGGCAGUAAGUUAAUACCUUGCUGUUUUGACGUUACCAACAGAAUAAGCACCGGCUAACUUCGUG
Molecule: ribosomal RNA, 484 nt
Filed under: uncultured bacterium
Lineage: Bacteria
Description: partial 16S ribosomal RNA
Rfam family: Bacterial small subunit ribosomal RNA
Source: RNAcentral